CACUUAACACUCACCUGUGAUACUGUGCCUGCAGAAACUGGAACUCCUCCUUGAUGCGGUCGCAGGACUCGGACACAGUGAACUUAAACGGCUGUCCAGGCUGGUGUACGACCUCAAGUGGAACCAACACAACCCAAGAAGAAGAAGAAGAGAGGAAGAACUGAGACCUUAUGAAACCCAAAUGUCAAGUGAGGCGAGGGCCUCAUAUCGAGUCCUGUCAAUCACGGCUCUCGCCGCGCCUGAAGCCCCGACGCCGGAUUAUUGGCUUCAACACAAGAGCUGCAAGGCCGGCGGCCACGAAGCCUCUGACGAUUUGACAGCUCGGGCUUCUUUUUUUUUUGUGUGUCUUCUAAAGAGGAACUUCAUUUGGCAGCUGAUGCACAGGAGAUUGCAGGUUUUUGAGAUGGAUAUGAGUGUGUAUACUGUAUGUGUGUCUUACCCUUUCUGACUGCUAUUCAUCAGCAACAAAUCCCAAAACAUAUUGUUCUUGUCCAGUGUGCCACAUAAGAAGGUCUAUAUCAGCUGUGUUCCAUUUCAUGCACGUCCUUAAACGCCACACUAAGCACAAGUGAAGAGGUGGCUGUAACAUAUUAUGUGCAACCAUAAACCGUUGGGGGAGAUUUACACCUA
This is a long non-coding RNA of Entelurus aequoreus (snake pipefish), 630 nucleotides long. RefSeq lists it as uncharacterized. NCBI's taxonomy places the organism in Eukaryota, Metazoa, Chordata, Actinopteri, Syngnathiformes, Syngnathidae. The transcript is spliced from 2 exons. The record is from RefSeq and is a predicted model, not a curated record.